Vitis riparia (riverbank grape) is the source of this 3896-nucleotide RNA transcript. It is a transcript of the gene named U11/U12 small nuclear ribonucleoprotein 65 kDa protein-like, with no coding region annotated. The record is from RefSeq and is a predicted model, not a curated record. Lineage: Eukaryota; Viridiplantae; Streptophyta; Magnoliopsida; Vitales; Vitaceae. The transcript has 12 exons.
UGCUCCAUCACAAGAUCUGUAAAUUGUCCAAAACGCAGCGUUUUGAGCACCAGUCCGAAACCCUAGGUUUGAAGAAGGGAAGCAAGUGCUAUUGAAGCUCUAAUGGCUUCGCAACCCAUGUUAGGCCCUAGAACGCAGAGUUUGAAGCAGAAAAAUCGGCGGCGACGCUUUUGAUUCGGCAUCUCCCCGAAGCCAUUCCUCAGGACACCCUGUCUCGCCUCUUCUCCAGCUAUGGCGCUUCUUCUGUCCGUCCUUGCACUUCUGGAAGAUUGAGGAACUGUGCAUUUGUGGAUUUCAAGAGUGAAAUGUUGGCUUCUCAAGCACUACGCCAAUUAAAUGGGCUGAGGUUUCUUGGUAAAGUUUUGUUAGUGGAGAGAGCAAAUAAGCCAACUGAGGAUGAUAAACAAAAAAGUGAAGCUCUAUUUGGCAAGGAUCUUACUAAACCUGCAUCUUUAAUAAAGGAUUUUACCAUGGCCAGAGAUCUCGGUGAAGGAUUGAAGUCAAGCUCCUUACCUGCUAGUGAACCCAUCGCUGCAAGACUUGGCAUUGAUUACCCAUUUCCUCCCCACCUUGAGUACGCUUACCCCCCACCAGAUGGAAAUAUUCUGACCAAUAUUGUAAAUGCUCUAAUUGCUGUUCCUCGCUUCUAUGUACAGGUGUUGCACUUGAUGAACAAAAUGAACAUUCCAGCUCCAUUUCGUAUGGCCUUGCCCACCCCACCUUUACCACCUCCAGUACCUGCCCCACCACCACCACCUCCACCCCCUGAAGCUGCAAGACCUAACUUGGAAGGCCUAUCUAGUGGCGAGUCUGAAAUGGAAUCAUCAGAUGGGGAGGUUGAUGGCAAAGCCUAUUCUCCUGGGCCUCCAAGAGAAACAAAACCUGGUCGAAAGUGUGUCAAACGAGAAGCUAUUGUAGGCCCUGGAGUUGAUAAAGAUGUGGCUCAUGAGGCUGUUGGAGUGAAACCUGCCACCUUGGUCCCUAAAGAGAUUCCAAUGAUAAAAAAGAAGAACCCUGUGUUGCAGAUCAAAAUUGCCCCCAAGGUAAUCACUGAACAUAAAGAUGAAUGUAGCAUCAUGAAAGAAUCCGAGGAUUCUGAGAAAGAGGAUUUUGAUCUCAAACAUUAUGCAACCUUGGAAGAAUUAAAAAAUGGAAAGUUGCCUCCAGAGGAAAUCUUAUCACUUCCAAUGUUUAAGAACUAUAUGGCUGGGAAUCCUGCUCCUGUGUUGUACAUAAAGAACUUGGCAAAAGAUGUGAUUGUAGAUGACUUCUAUUUCAUAUUUGGAUCAUUAUUUGGAAGUGUGGAUGCUGCUAAAUCUGGUCUUAGUGUGAAGUUGAUGCAGGAGGGAAGAAUGAGGGGCCAAGCUUUUGUGACAUUUCCAUCAGUUGAACUUGCUCAUCAUGCUUUGGCAAGCAAUUUGGCAUGGAACCCACAACUUUUAGAGUGAGGGUUUUCAAGUGGCCAAGCAAUCGGCUUGACCGUACUUUAAAGCUCAAGAUUAGCAGUCUUAACUUCACUACGUUGAUGCAUGAACUGGGAUGCAAGCAGUUGAUUCAUACUUUGAUGUUUGACAUGGUUACCGGAUGCAUGAGGACAAAUGAACCUACUGAAGAGGCCAAGCCCAGGUAAAUUCUGACGAUGAUCUGCUGCACCAAAUGCAGGCACUUAUGCCUUCGCUAAGUUUAUCCUUUCAUUUAUUGAGGGCUUGAGGGUAUUGAAUACAAGCACACUCCUGAAUCAAUCAUAAUGAAGGAUGUGAAGGAAAUUUUUAGGCCAAAAUUUUUUCAGCCGGCCAACCCAGUUGGCCUUGGCUUCUCAAUUGUCAUGCUCAGGGCAACUAUUCCAUUUCUAUAUCCUUCAUUAAACCCUAAUGCGAUUUUUGAAUUGACAUCAUAACCAUCUUCAUUUGUGCAGUUAGUUUUGAUUUCUAGAGCUGUGUGGACUGACUUUCUUUCUUCUGAUUAGAUUUUGUACAACACAUUGUGUACCUUGAGAAGGAUUUUUCAUCCUCUGUAAGUAUUAAUCUCAUAGCAAUGAAAUGUUCAUUUCUACCUGAUCUAAUUUUCUGUAUUAUUUGCUCAACCCAUUCUUAAAAAAAUACAUCUGAAAUUGUAUUUUGUGUAACUCAUACCCUGCAAUAGCUCAGUUUCAAGGUUUUAAUCCCAAGUUGAAAGUAUAUAUCAUAGCCAAAAGAUCAAUUAAUUCCAAUAGUUAAAAGGAUCUAAAAGAACUUAUUGCAAUAAUGAAUGGCUAAGCACAAAGACAAGAAGAUUUGUCCAACAUGAGGCCCUUGCUUGAUCCAGUUCCUGAUAGAAGGCGCCUUACAUGAGGAUGUGGGAUUAGACCUGUGAAUUAGAAAUAUUCCUAGUAAGGGGGAAAAGUAAAACUUGCAUUAGCAAGCGAGAAUUAAGAGAAAUUUAUAGAAAUUAAUACAAAAUACAAAUCUCCAAGUUGACUUGGAGAUGCAAAAAUUAUAUGCAAGACAAGUUUGGACUAACUGAAAAAAAAUACUAAAGAUCGAAAUAUAUAUUUUUUUUAAUAAUCGAGGAACUUUUCAUGGUCAAAUCCUUAUGACUCUCCAUGAAACCCAAAACUUGAGGUAUUGACUGUCUCAUAACAACCAGCACCAGGUAAAUAUGCUAGGAUUUGAACUCAAAACCAUGUGUCACUUAUUGGGAUCACAUUUCCCAGUAUUUGCCCUGAUCAAUUGGACUACCCUAGCAGGUAAGAUUGAAACCUAGUUUUAUGCCAUGGUUAUAUAACGGGAGAGGUUUGCAGAAAAGAAUGAGAAACUAAAAUCAUCAUUAAAACUUCACCAUGGUUUAUAGAAUAGUUUUCAUUACGAUACAAUAAAAAACUAAAAUCCUAGGUUAAAAGAAUAAGUUUGAGAAACAUUAAUUUUAACCUAGUAGAUAAUGAAAUCAUCAUAAAUUUUCGGUUGCAUCAGGGUUUGCAAUACUUGUAUCCUUUCAUUUUUCCUAGACAAUUUUUUUCGGAAUCACUAACUUUGCCUAGAAAAUUGUAGCAAAUUGCAUGGACAAAAUGAAGCACAAACCUUUGGUUGUGCCAUGUGUGUGACCAUUAAUUGAAGGCACCUUUUGACAUUCCCAGACUUUCAUUAACAGCCUUUAUAUAAAGGGUUGGAUGCCAUCACAAUCAACUUCACCAAGCUCAAAUCUGAGAGAGAAAACAAAGUGAAGGUUAGAAGUGUGUGUGUAUGUGACUAGCAAUGGAGGGAGAGGGAGUCCCAGCAAAACAGAGCAUUGUAGUGUGUGUCUGGAACAAAAUAGUAGAAGCUUACACAUGGAUGAAAGCCAAAUUAAAUUCACUCUUCAAGCUCUUCACUGAAUCCAUCACUAAAGCUCUUCUGUGCCUCAGGUAGUUUGUUACCUCUUGCUGUGAAAAACUCAGAGAAAUGCUUCCAGGGAACAACACCAAGCUAGACGACUUGUCUGAAAAGAAAUUAGUGAUUGAGGGGUUUCCUGAGGAGGGUUCUCUUUUGGAUGAGAUGAGGAAGCUGGAGAGGUUUGUUGGGCUGGUGGAUCCAUUUUUGGAGGUUGGGAGCAGCCUUGAAAUGAAGUUUGAUUGCCCAAAACUGAAGACGUUUCUUGACCUGGCUGAAGGGUUGAUCCAGUUGUUGGAGUAUAAUCUGUAAGCAGCCUGACUCUCAUACUUGUUCUUGUUGAAGCCUAUUUGCUACCGCAUAACCAACAAGACGUGAAGUUACUAGAGUUUGAAAGGAGUAAGGUAGAGCUGAGAUGGUCAUUUUACUCUAAUAAGUCUCUCUGUUCUGUUCAGUUCAGUUCUUCUAUCUAAAUGUAGUUGGUGGUUAUAAUAUUAAAGAUCGAAACAUACUUUUAUAUCGUGGUUAUAUAUGGGAGACACUUGUGGAAAA